UACCUAAACAAAUUUAAAAAGUUAAGCUUUUAAAUAACUAUUAAAGAUAUUAUCCCCUUGUAGUGUAGUUUAAUAGCUAUCUACAUAAUAACUUAAUAUAAAGUAUAAUAGUUUAUAUUUUAUAAUAUGACGUUAACAAUUUUGUUUAAUAUUUGAAAAUGUUAGUAUUAGUAAUAUUAGUAUAUGUGCUAAAGGAACUCGGCAAAAAACCACUCAACUGUUUAUCAAAAACAUAGCUAUAUGCAUUAAUAUAUAGUUAUUUCUGCUCAAUGACUUAAAUAGCCGCAGUACUCUGACUGUGCAAAGGUAGCAUAAUCAGUUGGCUUUUAAUUAGAGUCUGGUAUGAACGAAAAUAUGGGUAGUAACUGUCUUAGCACAUUUUUUCGAACUUAUUAAACAAGUGCAAAUGCUUGUAAUUUAACAAUAGACGAGAAGACCCUAGAAACUUGGACAAGUUUUUGUUGGGGCGACAGAAUUACACUUAACUAAUCUUAUAAUACACGACGCGAUGUUGAAAGAAUAAGUUACUCUAGGGAUAACAGCAUAAUUUCAUUAGUUUGUGACCUCGAUGUUGGACUAGGUACUAUACCCUUAAGGCAAGGAUAUAUUAUGCUCUGUUCGAGCAAAAUUACCUACAUGAUCUGAG
RNAcentral lists this ribosomal RNA (646 nucleotides) under Helix pomatia (Roman snail). RNAcentral's name for it is "partial 16S ribosomal RNA". The record is from RNAcentral. Lineage: Eukaryota; Metazoa; Mollusca; Gastropoda; Stylommatophora; Helicidae.